Molecule: unclassified non-coding RNA, 251 nt
Filed under: uncultured fungus
Lineage: Eukaryota; Fungi
Description: sequence contains ITS1, 5.8S rRNA gene
Rfam family: 5.8S ribosomal RNA (bases 203-251)
Source: RNAcentral
UUUCCGUAGGUGAACCUGCGGAAGGAUCAUUAGUGAAUUCAAUUUCUCUUCGGAGAGCGCAGCAUGGGCCCUUGUGCCCAUGUUGUGAUUCCAAAUCCUCAACACCUGUGAACUGUCUGUCAAGAACAAGGCUUCGGCCUUGGACUUGUACAUUUUACCAAACUUACUCUGUAAAAAAUGUCAAUAUAUUAUAAACAAAUAAAACUUUUAACAACGGAUCUCUUGGCUCUCGCAUCGAUGAAGAACGCAGC